AGAAAAGGAUAAUCUGAAUUUGCAAAUUAGGCAGAAUGAAUUGAUUAUAAUUUAUCUUUCAACUUGCCUAACAUUAGUACAUAAUGUCCUCCAAUUUGUACCAAAAUUCAAUAUGAAUUACAAAGAUUCUGGAUGUGCUCUAAUGUUUUUGAAAUAUGUGUUUUCAAUCUUAAUAAUUUAAGAUGAGCUACAAUGUAGAAGAUGCAUAUCUCAAAUUAUAGUCCUGAAAGCUUCUUUGAAAAUUUUUAUGAAAUUCAGAAUCUGAUUUUGUAUAAAAGCUUAAACUUAAUUUAAAAAUGCUUCUAUCGUUGCAUUUUUGUAAGUUUCAUUAUAUGCUUCAAUGAUUGCAUCAUUUUGGGGAAUAACUCAAUAUGAUUCCUAGAUGAAAACUACGGUU
Molecule: long non-coding RNA, 397 nt
Filed under: Phoenix dactylifera (date palm)
Lineage: Eukaryota; Viridiplantae; Streptophyta; Magnoliopsida; Arecales; Arecaceae
Description: long non-coding RNA (PDAC_LNC021025)
Source: RNAcentral